CACAACUGAAAAUGAAACGGCAGAAGGAAGGAAUGAGAUACUACUACAAGUCACAGAUCUUUUGAGGUGGGAGCUGCAGAUGGUGUCCUGGGUUGCAUUUGGUCCAGUCCCAUUACAAAAUGGCUCCCUCUAGUAUUCUGAAAGUUGGCCUUUUUGUUUCUAAAACAUCAUCCAUUGAAUCACUGAUAGAGCAUUAACACUGCCAAACGUCUUUGUGAAAUGGAAAGCAAGGUGUUCCAGAUUAUUUGUUAUAUCUAGGUUUUCUAAUGAUAAUGCUCAAGUCACAGAACAAGGGUAGCUGGGUUAUUUAUUGUCCAUACUUCUUUUCUUUUCUUUUCUUUUUUUGCCUUCCCACCCACUUUUGUCAAGUUAGCACUUUUAGUAUCUCCUUUCCAGAAGCUAAUACCCAAGGUGAAUUUAGAAGUGGCAGGUCCAAAUUGUGAUCGGAUCAUCUCCGUUGUGGCAGCCGAAACUGAUCUUAUCUGGAUGGUGACCUUACCCACUUCAGAGAGCAGAACUCAUUACAAUAAUAAGGAAUAACAGAGACAGAGAAAGAGCAAUCACAGCAGAGCCUGGAAAGAAUUCACUUUACCAUCAUUUCAGAAGAUUAGUUCUAAGCCUCUCUCCUGUAAACGUCAUUUUUCACUCCAGCAGGAGGUCCAGUUCAGAAAUUAUUCUGGCCGACUCACAGGCUGUAUCUCUUUACCCCUGAUUUGCAAUCCAUUUCCACCUCCUCCCAGCGCACUCAAUUGCAUUUGUUUAAUAGCUACACACACAAAAAAAACUUUGCAUGGCAUGAAUGAUGCUAUUUGAUAAUGCAACAUUUUGUUUGGGAUAUAAUAGGAAGGAUUAUCAAUAUACCUGCAUCUGUAGGUGAGAUGGCAGCUGAAAACGAACCCAUGGGGGUCUUGAUUAUGGAAAUAGUGUGUGUGUGUGUAUGUGUGUGUGCGCGCACAUGUGUGUUUGUGCGUGAGUGCGACUGGCAUUGAAUGAUGCAUAUGCCUACAAGAAUGUAAAUGCACAUAUGAAAAUACUGCAGGGGUGUAUUGGUUCAUUUGUAAUGGGAACUGACCACUGGCUCAAGCUACUGCUGGGCACACCACUUCACGUGUAUAUUUCCUAUUAGGCUUGCAAUCAUUGGACCUUAUGGGCUGCAUUCAGCUACUGUGUCCCGACAGCACAAGGAUUCCUGCUUGCAUAGUGGGGCUUUCCCCCCUCCCCCCCUCCACACACAUUGUCCCCAAAUCUAAUCCAGAAGGUUAGAGAAACCCCUAGAACAAUUUAUUGGGUGCACAGGGGGAGAUGUGGGGGGAAAGGAGAAAGGAGAAAGCACAAGGAGAAAUCACCAGAAGAAAAAUAUCUGUCAGGGGGCUUGUAGCCCACAGCUGCUCUGCUUUCUGGAAAGAACAUGGCCAUUUAGUCUGUGAAUGACUGAGGUACCACCAGCGGAGAUAAAGAUGACAGUGCUCCUUUAGUAGCAUUCCUGGUGGGGCAGGACAGCCCAAGUAUAGCAUACAGUGGUACCUCAGGUUAAGUACUUAAUUCGUUCCGGAGGUCCGUUCUUAAUCUGAAAUUGUUCUUAACCUGAAGCACCACUUUAGUUAAUGGGGCCUCCCACUGCUGCCGUGCGAUUUCUGUUCUCAUCCUGAAGCAAAGUUCUUAACCCGAGGUACUAUUUCUGGGUUAGCGGAGUCUGUAGCCUGAGGUACCACUGUACAUAGUAUCAAAACUCUUAAUAGACACCACCCAGUUUACCUCUGACCCCACUAACUUGGGGCUCUGGCCCAGCCCACUGCUGCUGUCAUGCAGCCCCUGACCAAUUACCUCAGAGGGAACGUGGCUUUCAUCCCUGGUGUGUGCUCUGAUUGGGCACCCAAUUGAAGGCUCUCAUCUUGGUCCUUAAUGGCUGGCAGUUGGCCUUUAAUGGUCUCUAAAUUUGCCACCCAGCGCAGCCAUUUUACUUUCCUUGGUGUGGCACCACCCUCUGUAUUUCUCACUGCUUUUAAAGGUGUCACUUUAUCCUGGCUAUAACUGUACUGACAAUCAGGUCCCCCUCCCCCCUUAGACGUACCUUAUGGUCCUUAUGGUACACAGAACCUUAUGGACACAGAAAGAAAUUGGACACCUGCAUACUCCACACUCCAUACAAGUAACAUAUGUCUGAUACAUAUGUGCCUGUCAUAAUCCCUUACUUGUGCUUACAAUGGACUUUUGAUCAUGUGCUCAUGACAUCACAGUAGGAGGCUGUGAUUUCAAGCCAUUUAACUUGACCCUGUUUUGGCGCAGCAUCUCUGAGUUUGGGAGACACAGUACUUCAUAGAAAGAGAUCUGCUGCUCUCAACACUGACUCACAAGAGUUUUCCAGGGUGCAGAUUUAGUAUGUGUUUUUACCUGUAAUGUUCAAUAUGCUUAAGAGUUCAGAGGAUGCAAGGCCUAUAUUAGCAACAGAGCCACUUCAGGGCAUCUUAGAGCAAGGUUCUAUAGGGCAGGAGCAAUUUGUAUUUCCUUUUCUUCAAUCCGUAUCCCAUGUAGUGGCAGUGGGCUUUAAGCUUCCCAGCCAGGUGUCUACUGUUGCACACAUGCAGGUUUGCACGAGGGCCCUUCUGAGCUGCCCUAGUCAUCUAAGAGAAUGAGGAAGGCAGGGGCACACUUAUUUGACCUGUUCAGGGCUGCCUCAAGUCACCCUGCGACUUACUGUAACAACCUUAUGGUGAGUUCCAGCACCAAUUUUUCUCGGGGUGAAAAAAAAAAGCACUGCUCUCACCCAGCAAGAUUGCCUGUAUGUCUCAGGAUAUGAACUGGAGGCAUGUGAGACCAAUGCCUUGUGGAAGCCAAGCAGAUGUGGCUAUAUGUAUAUUGCCCUGAGUUCCAUUUUGGAAGAGAAGUGGGAAAUAAAGGUUAAAUAAACAGAUGCCUACAUAAAAUGUUCUAUCUAUCCCCACCAGGACUGGGGGGAAAACGUUUUUUUAAAAAAUCUGCAUUUAUAAGAAAUGCAAAACUUAUACAGGUUGCAGGAUUUAGCUUUUCUUGAUACAAUAGAAGCAUUAGAUGACAAGUCUCCAAAUGGCCCUUAUUAUCUCUUUUCUUCUCCCCCCUGGCUACUUUCCUGCCACUAUUAUCCUUCUGUUCAGCUCCAUAUCAUGCUGCUGCUUCGAGCACUUUUAGAAGUUCCUUAAAGAGGAAGGCAUACUUCUGCAAACAUGACAUGAAGGCUGGCAACAUUAACCCCACCCUGUGGGAAUCCCUUGCAGACAACCGCAGCUCCUGGAGACAAUCAGUCAAGUUGUGUAUCCACAGCAGUGACCGGAAGAUGAGUGACCACUUGGAGGAACGCAGAGAGAAGAAAUGCAAUGGUACAUCUGCAGCAGCACAACCAGACUCCUUCAUCUGCCCCAGCUGCAACAAAACAUCUCUCCCGUAUCAGUCUCCACAGCCACAGCAGGUGCUGUAACUCUCCAACAGUUCGACUUCACUCCCGAAGGAGCAGUUCUCCACUGUCUCCUGACACAGACAGAUGCCAGCCACAACUUCAGUGCUGCCUGGAUUUUAAAGCCUGGAUUGAUUUCUAUUUUUGCAGUUUAAAAGGUGAUCAAUGUUCAUUCAUGGAAAAAUGCCACAGGUGACACCAAGUAGGUGGAUCAACUGUAUUUCAGGUGGUCUUCAGGGGAAGUUACCUAGCAGCCUCAAAAUGUUACAUUCCCUUCUAAUGCUCCAUUAACUGAGGGCUGGGGCCAUAGCUGAGUGAUACAGCAUGUACAUUGUACACAGAAGUUCCUCCACCUAAUCCCUAGCAACUUCCAUUUAAAAAAGGUGGAGGUACAGAUGAUGUGAAAUACCUGUACCUGGGACCCUGGAGAGCCACUGCCAGUAGAUAGUAUUUGCUGGAUGGAUGUAUAGUCUGACUUGGGAUAAGACAACUUCCUCCAAUAUCCCUUCCUUAACCGACACCACCUGUUUCACUUGCCUGUGUUCUUGGCAAGACCAUCCUUUGCUCUUUGCAGCACAAAGACUUAUGACAUCACAGAAGGCUGCCAUGGAUAUUCUCUGGCAAACAGGUUGAAGCAAGCUAGUUAACCCAGAGCUAUGUGACAUCCUUUGGGACUAGGAACCUUUACAUCCCUGCUCAGUUAGACGUGGCAAAGCCCAUUGAAACAAAUGAGUUAGUUGUGCUUAACUCAGUGCAGGAGUGAACUGCUACAUGGGAAGGUGCCACAUACCAAAUCCAGAGCAUUGGUCCAUCUAGCUGAGUAACUGUCUAUAUUGACUGGUAGCAGCUCUGCAGGGUUUCAGGCAGGAGUCUGCCCCAGCCCUACAUGGGGAUGCUGGAGAUUGAAUCUGCAUAGAAAGCAUCAGAUGCUCUUCCACUUAGCUAUGGCCACCCUCAAAUUAAAGUAUUACCACCAUGGGAUGCAACGUACCUUAGGCACCACAAGAUAUGUGUGGCAGUUUCAGUUGCCUAGCACUUGACAUCUUUAAGAAAAGACAACCAAGAGUGCCUGCCUGCCUUCUCCUUUCUCCAUAGUCAGGCCAUAUUUGACUGAAGACCAAGAAGAUAACCUGGGGGAACAUAUGCUCCUUCAGGCAGGGGCAGACCAAAAUUUGAUGCCCCCAGAGCCCUUGCGCUGCCUUCCCAAGCCAGGUAAGUGAGGUGCUGGGCUUUGGGAAGGAGGUGCAAGGGCUCUGGCAGGGUCCUAGAGCCGUCCCACCUCCUUCCCAAAGCUGGGCAAGUGCUAAGUAGGCUUUGGAAAGGAGGCAGGAAGGCACCCCCCUCGGCUUGGCACCCUGUAAAGGAGAACCCGUCAUGGUGCCCUAAAUCUGCCUCUGCUCCAGAUGCCGCUGGAUUACAGCUCCUGUCUUCAGUGGCCAUUGUCAUAUUGGAUGGGGAUGGAGCUGGAAUCAAGCAACAAAUGGAGGGCCUCAGAUUCCCCGUCUCUGUUCUUUUUCUGUUCAGAGGUUUCUCAGUUUACCCAGAGGUAGGGUGGAGGCUGUGGGACUACAAGAUCUAGAGAAUUCUAGCAAGGGAUGGAAAGUAGCUACUAUCCCAUAGGGAUGACUCAGCUUCAGAGGGGAAAACCACAAAGCCACAGUAGGCAAGUACUUUAUGAUGAACCACUAAAAUGUCAGAAAGUAAUGAGCAAGCUUUUGGUAGGAGAUCUGGCGAGUAAGAAAUAAACCCUCCCAGAGAGACAUCCUUCUGAAACUGUAGAGGACCACAGGUUAGAUUCCUACUUCCUUUUCUCACCAACCUCUCAGAAGUUAGUGGCAAGAUGCAGCUUCUUUAGCAUGAGGAUUGAUUAGUCCUAGAUUCUCCCAGGAUUGGUCAGCUGGAAUGAUCUCUUUUUAUAGAAAUACUGGAGACCCAGCAGCUCUGUCUAAUAUUGAGCCUGGCAAUCCUAUUUUAAGCCGGCAGGGUGGUUAACGUGUGAGAAAGCCAGAGGGACAAUAAGGCCUCAGGCCAGGCCUGGAGCAGAGAGGGUAGUGGUGGAAUUAUAUGGAAAGAACAAGGCUGGGAGACAUAAGAUUCCUAAAUUCAUGUGGCAGAGCACACAGGUUUUUAACAGCUGUAUAGUAGGAAUCACUGGCUGCUUCACCCAGAAUUAUAAUUGGGGGGGGGACUACAUCUGUGAAAGUUAUCAUUUAUUAAUUGGUGGUACCAUAGUAAAUCCAAAUCUCUGGAGAACCUGUUGAAACCAAGCAAGCUGAGCUUUCAGAUAGGGCUGCUUUUGGUUUCUCUGACAGAGGCUCUGUGCCUGCAACAACAGCAUGGCAAGCAGAAAAGGAACAGAUGUUGCUUUUUCUAAAAGAUGACACUCUUUAGAUGAGAAGCGAUGCAAAGGAGAUAAGAAUUUGUGUGUCUAUAGUAACUGUGUGUAGAAGGGCACAUUGCAACAGAUGAAGCUAUGCAGUGAGAUAACCUAUACUUACAAAAAGGAUUACAAACUACAGUGGUACUACUGGUUAAGUAUUUAAUUCAUUCCAGAGGUCCAUUCUUAACCUGAAACUGUUCUUAGCCUGAAGCACCACUUUAGCUAAUUGGGCCUCCUGCUGCCGCCGCGCCGCUGGAGCACGAUUUCUGUUCUCAUCCUGAAGCAAAGUUCUUAACCUGAAGCGCUAUUUCUGGGUUAUCAGAGUCUGUAACCUGAAGCCUAUGUAACCCGAGGUGCCACUGUAGUUGAAAAGAGUACAAGUGUCAAAGACACUGGAGCCCUGUCCUCUUUCCCCCUUGGUCAUCCUGACAUCCUUUGCAAGCAUUCAAAAAGGAUACUCUUUCGAUAAAGACCUUUAGAGGAUCAGUCAAGGACAUGUUUCUGCCUGAGGACAAGUUGGUGUCUCCUCUCCCCAGUGGCAGACCUACAUUUCUGGGGGCCUGAAGACUGAACUGUCAUAGGGGCCCCUUCGCCACCAGCAACAAGUUCUGGACAACCACUGUUCUCUUCUUCAAUGGGAUUGUUUCAUGACAGUUCAACACACUUUUACAACACCUGUGCUACUGACUCUCAAACUUUGGGAUUGUUGAAAUAUAUACAACUAAAAAUUAAUCAAUUUGAUUCAAAUCAAUGUGACUCAAAUUGGAUCUACUAGUCCCAAUUUUUUAAAGCAAUUGCACUAAAGUUGCUUCUGGGGCCCCUCUGGGCCCUGAAGUUCAAGCCGCUACUGAAGUUACAAUUUCACUGUUAACUAGCCUAAACAUAGCAAGCCCUGUGCAGGCUAAACUUAAUUGAAAGUUUACUUUGUUUGUCUUCCCAGGCCAAGCUACACUUGCUGAAAUUAUCUUAAUUCUCUUAGGAGGCAGUUGUCUCACCUCACCUCAAGUGUGGGCCAGCCCUGGGCAGCUUCCUAUGUCCCUAAGGCCAAAUUAGAAAGAUACCAAUUUUAAAAGAAUACUAAUUGUAAAAGAAUGGCUUUAUAAAUAGUAGGUGCAGGGCACCCAUUCCAGAGUAGGGAAGGCUUUACCCCUUUAAGCCCUACUGUGCUCUUGAUCUGAAUCAGGCUGCCCAGGACUUGCUAUUUCCAUUGGAAGAAAAGCUCCCAUUGGCAUAGAUGGGAGCUUUUCCUCCAACGCAAAGGAGAGCUGGGAAACUGGAUUUGAACUGGGAGUGCAGCAAGGGAGGGGGAAGGAUUAAGCCCCCAAUCACUUCAGGAUACCAGUCCAGAUCCAUCCCCCACACCUGCCAUUUAUCUUUUAAAGAUCUGCUACUUGCAAUUGCUAAUUGUGUAAAUAGCAUUUUGUCUAGUUUGGUGCUUACACACUAGAAAUAAAAGACUUGACUGAAAUUCCAUGUAUGUUUAGGUUUUUGCCCUCUGUGCUUUAAAGGCACCAUAUAAAUGUGGUGAAAGAGAGGACAAUGUAAGCAGUUCCCCUCCCAAACCAACCCCAGCAUCCCAGACCAAAUACAAAUCAUGCUUCAGGGCAUCAUAUAAAUUGCUAUUAUAAAUUCAUAUGGUGCACCAGGGAGUGCCUCAUUGUGUGUGAUUAGAGACUGUCUCGAGAGCAGUUUAGACACUCAGCCUGCUGCACGCAAGCACUGCCCCGGGGCUGCUGUUACUGAUGCAUUGUUACAAAGUGCCAUAAUAAAGCAUGAGCUAAAACAACUUAGUUGAAAUGAAGAUUAAUAUGAAACAUGUGUUCCCCUCCUUUCACUCAGAUGGAACAGUCCAAUAAAUAGAUGCUCCUCAAGGCUGAGAACAUUGGGCUCCAAUAACAAUCUGAUUGGCUGAUGGCUGCCAUUGCUGAGGGCUAGUGAUAUGUUUCCAUAGAGUCUACAAAGCAUUUGUGGACAACGUCACUGCAGCAUCUGCAAAGCAGUCAGUGUGGGCUUGCCAAAUGGUGGAGCAGUCAGAAGAGCUGAAACCAUCAAAGAAAAAUGUUUGAAGAGCACUUAAAUUAAAAAACAAACAAAC
Non-coding RNA from Podarcis lilfordi (Lilford's wall lizard), 7902 nucleotides. The record is from the annotation of a GenBank genome assembly. NCBI's taxonomy places the organism in Eukaryota, Metazoa, Chordata, Lepidosauria, Squamata, Lacertidae.